UGGGGAAUAUUGGACAAUGGGCGCAAGCCUGAUCCAGCAAUACCGCGUGGGUGAUGAAGGUCUUCGGAUUGUAAAGCCCUUUUAGUGGAGAAGAUAAUGACGGUAUCCACAGAAAAAGCACCGGCAAACUUCGUGCCAGCAGCCGCGGUAAUACGAAGGGUGCUAGCGUUGUUCGGAAUCACUGGGCGUAAAGCGUGCGUAGGCGGUUUAGUAAGUUGGUUGUGAAAUCCCCAAGCUUAACUUGGGAAUUGCAACCAAAACUGCUUGACUUGAGUUUGGUGGGGGAUAGUGGAAUUCCUAGUGUAGGGGUGAAAUCCGUAGAUAUUAGGAGGAACACCAGCGGCGAAAGCGACUAUCUACGCCAAUACUGACGCUAAGGUACGAAAGCGUGGGGAGCAAA
RNAcentral lists this ribosomal RNA (400 nucleotides) under uncultured bacterium. Its description in RNAcentral is "bacterial SSU rRNA". It matches the Rfam family "Bacterial small subunit ribosomal RNA", at positions 355 to 772 of the family's 1533-position model. The record is from RNAcentral.